Molecule: non-coding RNA, 86 nt
Organism: Annulohypoxylon bovei var. microspora
Lineage: Eukaryota; Fungi; Ascomycota; Sordariomycetes; Xylariales; Hypoxylaceae
Source: the annotation of a GenBank genome assembly
GGGCGUGUAACUCAGUGGUAGAGUGCUCGCUUUGCACUAACAGUGUGGCUUGCGAGAAGCCCAGGGUUCGACUCCCUGCUCGUCCA